Molecule: non-coding RNA, 112 nt
Organism: Acanthosepion pharaonis
Lineage: Eukaryota; Metazoa; Mollusca; Cephalopoda; Sepiida; Sepiidae
Source: the annotation of a GenBank genome assembly
UACGGCCAUAUCACGUUGAAACACCAGUUAUCGUGCGAUCAUCAAAUUUAAGCAACAUUUAGCCUGGUUAGCACCUAGAUGGGGGACCGCUUGAGAAUACGAGAUGUUGUAU